AAUAUUAAGGUAAACAAAUUAAAAAACCUAAAAUAUAAAAGUUAGCUUUCAGCAGCUUAGUAAUCGGAAUGACUAUCUAAUAUGAUAUUAUCGUAGUCAUUUACUUAGAGAUUUUAGUCAUUUAAUGGGCUCGACAUUUACUAGACCAUCUAAAAUCUUAUCCUAAUAAAAAAACAAAUGACAAUAAAAUAAUGUUCAAAUCAAGAUCAGUUGAAAAGAGAGAAGGAUGGACAAGGAAAUCUCAUAAUAGAGAUUUUUAUUUUCUAUCCAAAUAUUUAGUGAUACGUUAAUAAAAAAUAAACUUUACAACAUCAUAUUACAAUUAAUAUUUUUCUAAAAUUAAAAAUAAUUUUUAAAAGAUAUUUCUAUAUAAAAUAUUGCAUGUUCAUUUAGAGCUAAACAGUUACAAAGUACUUUUUUAAAAAAAAUGUAUAUUCAUAUGUUAAAAAAUAAAAAGGGAUAUAGGGAAUAGGAAAAAGGACGAGUAUCUCAAAUUUUUAUUGAAAAAUUAAUGCCCAUUCAAAUCCACGACGAAUAAAAAUGAAUGAUGAGAAUAACCUCUAUCAAAUGAACGUGAAUAUGAAUAUUAGCUCAGUAAUCAAAAUGACCAUUUAAUAUGAUAUUAUCGUAGACAUUUACUAGAGAUUUUAGUCAUUUAAUGGACUAGACAUUUACUAGACCAUCCAAAAUCUUAUCCUAAUAAAAAAUAAAUGACAAUAAAACAAUGUUCAAAUCAAGAUCACUUGAAAGGAGAGAAUGAUGGAUAAGGAAAUACUAAACUAGAGAUUUUUAUUUUCUAUCUGAAUAUUUAGUAAUACGUUGAUAAAAAUUAAACUUUACAACAUCAAAUUAUAAAGAAUAUUUUUCUAAAAUUGAAAAUAAUUUUUUUAAAAUAUUUCAAGAUAAAAUACUGCAUAUUCAUCUAGAGCUAAACAGUUAAAGUACUUUUUAAUAUAUAUAUAUAUACACACACAUAUGUUAAAAAGUAAAAAAAGGAUAUAGGAGAUAGGAAAAAGGACGAGUAUCUCUCAUUUUUGUUGAAAAAUUAAUACCCAUCAAAACCCACAUAAAAAUGAAUGAUCUGAAUAAUUAGGGAUGGCAAAAAUCGUCACGGGGAUGGGUACCCUCGGGGAUUUUCCCCAUUCGGGGAGGGUACGAGGAUAAUUUUAUACCCAAUUUUUUAUUCGGGGAGGGGACGGGAAAAAUUUUUGACCCAAUUUUUUAUUCGGGGAGGGGACGGGGAUGAGGUGGAAUCCCUAUCCCCUACCCAUUUCCCCAUUUUAAUUUUUAUUUUUAUUUUUAUUUUUAAAAUUACUAAUAAAUAAAUAACAAAAUUAUAAAUAUUGGCAAGAUAUGAGUGGAAUUUUGGGUGUGGCAUGUAUCUUUGAUCCAAGGUAUAAAAAGAAGUUCAUUGAAUAUUACUUUUCUAUGGUUUAUGGUGGUGUUAAAGAGUUGUAUGUUGGGAAAGUGGUCACCCUUUGCCGGGAAUUAGUGGAAGAGUAUCAAUUGAAGUUUUCACCAACUGUUUAUUACUUUGAUUAUACUGGUAGUAGUUCUUCUAUUAGAUCUACAGGGGAUUCUUAUAAGAAAGCAACCAAAUGGAUAACAGGUUUUGAUGAUUACGUAAACAAUGGAGAUUGUGCAGUUGUUGCAGAUGAAUUAGAUUCAUAUUUGGAUGAAAAAGUUAUACCCCGGAUGGAAGAUUUUGAUAUUUUGAGUUGGUGGAAGACAAAUGCUAAUAUGUAUCCUACAUUAGCUCGAAUUGAUAGAGAUAUUUUGGCAAUUCCAAUUACAACAGUUGCUUCUGAAUCAGCUUUUAGCACCGGUGGUAGAGUUGUGAGCCCACAUCGUAACAAACUUCAUCCAAGCACAUUGGAGGCCUUAAUGUGCUGUUAAAGUUGGUUACGAGCUUACAAUAACAGUAUGAGUUUAUUUUACAUUGUAAUUAUAUUAUACAGUUAUUAAUAUUUGCACUUAUAAGUUACGUUACUUAUAUCAUUUUUAUUGUUUUAGGUUUGGAAUCUGAGGCUAUCUCUCAAUUUGCCACAUUUCUCGAGGAAGAACAGAAGGAGCAGGACGAGUAGGAGGUAAAUAGUUUUAUUAAAAAUAUUAAUUAAGUAUCUACAUUUAUUUCAUUUAUUUUAUUGCCGAUAUAAAAAAUAAUUUUUUUUCUUUUUAUUGUAGGAUUAUGAAGAUUGAGACAUUGACAAAGAUAAUUAUUUUAAUAAUUUAUAUUUUGAAUGUGACUUUGUAAUGGAUCAAUAUUAAUGUAAGAUAUAUUUUAAACUUUAUUUUUAUCUGAAUUUUUUAUUUUAAUAUGAUUAAUUUAAAAUCAAAAAUAAAAAAAAUGUAUUAGACUAUUAAUUAUUCGGGGACCGGGGACUGGGGACCCUCAGGGAUCCCCUGUUAUUAUUCGGGGAGGGGAUGAAGAUUCUCUCAAGCAAUUUUGACGGAGACGGGGAGGGGACAAGGACAUACGCAAAAUAUCAGAAAUGAGUAUGGAGAGAUUGGUCCCCUCCCCUCCCCUCCCCAUUGUCAUCCCUAUGAAUAAUCUCUAUCAAAAAAACGUGAGAAUGAAUAUUAGCAUCCGUGCACAAUACCCUGACCUGUUGUCAUAACUGAUCCUCUUCUCGCACCAUUGUAAAUCUACGGAGAAUUCCAGAACUUUCUAAAUUAAAUUUUAAUUUGCAUUUCAGGGGGAAAAAAAAAAAAGAGAGAAAAAACAAAAAUACAAAUGUACGCAGCCAGCGGGCAGGAGGUCUAACCUUAAAUGCCCUUUGGAUUCCCGAAAUUCAGAAAAGAAAUUGGUUUUUGGGAGCAAAAUAUUUAUAUUUUCUCUUAUUUCACUGAAAACUGAUAUGACAAAUCUGUCCUUGGCAUUGACAGAAUAAGACAGGAGCAUUGGCCAAUGAUCCGCCUUCCCGAAGGAGAAAGAAUUGGGGCGAAAGAAAAAUAUCCCAUUGCCGUUUUUGAUAGUUUCCAUCAUUAGCCCCUUAGACUAGUAGAUACUAGCCCCAAAAUAAAAUAUAAAAAGAAAAAAGAAAAAGAAGAAGAGAGAUAGAGAAAGAGAAGAAUAAAAAAUAAUUUGUCAACUAAUUAUGCAACUAAAUUACUGAUACCCAGAUCACAUCCUUCUCUCUCUUAUUUCUCAGUCCUCACCUGUCCUUUUUCUCCCUCAUUUGAUCUCCAAUAUCAAAACCCUGGGCUUUCUCCUCACUAACUCUCCUUUUUUUUUUUUUUGGUUAAAUUUUUCAUCUUCAUAUUUUCAGCUUAAAUCUCUAAACUUUUGUUGUUUUUAACUUACAUUUCAGAGACCCAUUAAAGCCAUCUUUUCUAAGCAUAAAACCCUUUAAAAAAAAAUUCAUGUUCAUCUACAUUUCAUCACUUCAAAGAACAGAUUUAUAUCUUCAUUUUUGUUAAAAAGAUUAGAUUUUUACUUUUUCUUAAAUUUGUUCAGUUUUUUUUUUUCAGAGAUGCAUCCAACAGGUAGAGUCGAGAGGGAGGAGUUUAUAGGGGCAAGUUCAUCAUCAGCAUCCUAUUCUGCACCUCCUCAACCAAGGGAGGGGCUUCACGAUGCUGGCCCUCCUCCAUUCCUUACAAAAACUUAUGACAUAGUUGAAGACUGCAAUACCAAUCACAUAAUCUCUUGGAGCAGGGGCAGCAACAGCUUUGUUGUUUGGGAUCCUCAAGCAUUUUCCAUUACCCUUCUCCCUAAAUACUUCAAGCACAACAAUUUCUCAAGCUUUGUUAGACAACUCAACACUUAUGUAAGCUCUUCAUCACCUCACGUUAAUUUCUUUUGUGAUCUUGAAAUUUUCUUCACAAUUAUAUGAAAUGUCUUCUUUUGUUUGUUCUUGUCAUUUAUGGUCCUGAAACGGCUACAUACAAUGUUUGUUGUUCAUCUAUCUUUCUCUUCUGGUUACUUUUUUUCUUCUUCUUUUUUUAGGUUAAAAAAAUAUUGAUAAGUCCUUUCGGCUGCCUUGUUGUCGUCUAUUGGGGUAUUACUUAAUGUAGAUAUUUUCAUUCUUUAAUGGUUUGAAAACUUGGAAUGUGCUAAAAGAUCAUAACAUAAAAUAUACAAGAUAAACUCUUAUUGGGUAAUUUCGCCUGCUUAUUUGCUUUUGGUCUGCAUUAUGCUGCCGCAUUGGUAUUUUUUUAUAUAUUACCUUGCAACUUGCUAGUUCUGGAAUUUUAUUAUCUUUGUAAGGUCCUGGAUUUUUUUUUUAAGUUAAGUGAACAUUUAUGACCCUAAAAUUCGAUUUUGAUGAUGAAUCUGUCUUGUUAAUCAUCUAUGCUGUGGACUUUUAUAGUCAUGUUAUCUGAUGUAAACAAAUUCUUAUUUACUUGUCGAAAAAAAGAAAGAUUUAAAAAAAGAAGGAAAAAAUCAUGAGCAAGAAUGUGGGUUCAUGUAGGGAUUUAGAAAGGUUGAUCCUGAUAGAUGGGAGUUUGCAAAUGAAGGGUUUCUUAGAGGGCAAAGGAAUCUUUUAAAGAACAUUAGGAGAAGAAAAACAACGCAGUCUUCAGCCUCACAGCAAGCACUAGACGCAUGUGUUGAAGUAGGAAGAUUUGGACUAGAUGGUGAAGUUGACAGAUUAAGGCGUGACAAGCAAGUUCUAAUGAUGGAAUUGGUAAAGCUUAGGCACCAACAGCAGAAUACUAGAGAGUACCUUCAACUAAUGGAACAAAAACUGAGAAGAACUGAAAUGAAGCAGCAACAUAUGAUGAGUUUCUUGGCUAGAGCAAUGCAAAAUCCAAGCUUUGUACAGCAAUUAGCCCAGCAGAAGGAUAGAAGGAAAGAAUUUGAGGAUAUGAUUAACAGGAAGAGACGGCGGCAUAUUGAUCAAGGCCCUGGUGAAAUUGACGUUGGUGAUUUAGGCCAAGGUGAAGUUGACAUUCCUUUUGUGAAAAUUGAACCCGAGGAAUAUGGUGACCUGGCUGAACUUGGAUUGUCAGAGCUGGACAGGCUUGCAAUGGACAUGCAAGCUAGACUAAGUGAAAGACAAAGAAACCCAGAUGACGAGUUUGUUGAGAGAGGAGAAGAACAUGGAAGCAAAAAUAAGUUCACAAUUGAUCAGAGAUUUUGGGAAGAUUUCUUGAAUGAGGAUGUUGAAGAAGAGAUGUUGGCUGGUGAGGGAGAAGGAGAUGAAAAUGUGCGAGUGCUUGUUGAGCAAUUGGGUUUCCUGAGUUCGAGUCCAAAGUAAAGAAGAAGCCGCUAAGGAGCUUGUUAUCCUCUUGUGCUUGUUUCUUCAAUCCGGGUUAUAACAACACUUACCUAGCUACCUAACUUAAUUCUCAUUUCUUGUUUCUUUUGAUUUAAAUCAAAACUCCAAGAAAAUUUGCAGAUGGGGUUUCUUGGUAUUGAACGGAGAAUCCCAAUACUGGCAACGCAUUAACACUGGAAGAAUGCACUCCAUGGUGAUUGGUGAGUAAAAGAAGGAACUUUUCUUUGCAGAAACAUUUCAGAGCGCUAUGCAUAUUGUUUACUUUGAUUGAAAGCUUUUGUCUGCAAUUGUUCUUGACACCACUAUAUAUCCUAGAAUGAGAGACUUGAUGUAAUUUGGAUAGAUUUCAACACUACAGUCGUUUCGCUGUAAUCUUACCGACAUCCAACUUUUUAACUUCUUCUGAAUUAAAAUCCAAUUCUCUUGAGAUAAUGACCAUAUUACAACGUUCUUCGGUGCAGAACUCCCAACCCACUUUCCCUUGAAGAACCUGAGUGUUUAAAAUGUUGGGUUGUUUACUUUCUAAAUUUUUAUUAAUGAUGUAUAAAAAUAUAUGCACUAGUGUAACAUUUAGGAUGUCAAUGGCGGAUGACUUACAAAAUUCAGAGGUCUUUAAUAAGGGUCUCUCGAAGUUACAUUUUACGAACCUUACAUCCAUUUACAUAAAUAGUAUGUGGUGUGAGAUUUACUCACUAUUCAUGUAAGUGGGUGUAAGGUACAUGAAUUGUAUAUUAAAAAUUAUUCUUUAAUAAGAGUAUUGUACCAAAAUAUAUUUGUGUUGUAGCAUGUUCUUGUGUGUGUGUAUAUAUAUAUAUAUUAUUUCGUUGAUGUGCAUGGAAUCAAUUGUAACUGAACUUUUUUUUAAAUUACAUAAUUAAGAAAUCACUUGGAUUACUUUUCAUUGAAUCUUAUAUAUAACAAUACUCACAUUAUACUUUCUUUGAUGUUCGAGAAAUAUUUACUCUAUUCAUAUUUUAUAAAAAAAAAUUUAUUUUACUUAAUUUUAUUAAUAAUCGAGAGAAACAUUUAUUUCACUCUCAUGAGAAUAUUAUCUUCACUCAAUUAUAAAACAAACAUAAUUGAAGAAGAAGAAGAUUAAACCCUCUUACAUGCCACCUACUGGGGCCAGUUGGGUUGAUUGGAAUUAAACUUGGAAAGAGGAUUGAGGUACACUUGAGAACAUUCAGGAUGCUGCUGCUGCUGCUCCUUGUCUCUGACUGCACUGUCGGUAAUAUAAAACUCUUUCUUUUUUUUCUGAAACGGGUAAUACUACUACUAAUAAUAUAAAACUCUUAAAGGAGCUGUACAUUUUUAAUAAUUGUCUAUGGCUUCUUCACGAAAGUCCUGGAUGAUGCUGGGAGGCACCACCAAAAUGAUUAAAAGCUUGAAGUCUCAACGGCAUUUUGAGGAACACUGGAGAAAAAGUGAUCACGUUCUGUUCGAUGUGAGCUUUUCACAAAUAUUAUAUACAAAAUCAUACUUUGAUUGUCAAUUGUGUUUGAUCAGAUUGUUUUAAUUUAAUUAUAUUAUAUUUCAUAUUUGAGGCAUAAUUUGGAAUUUUGUCUCUUUGUAAUCUAGCACGUUCCAGUAUUAACCACUUCCCGGUUCAAUCAAAAUCAUCCUUCAGUCGACUGUGUCGUAUAGAUAGCAGGUGAAAUCUUUGUUUCUUCCUCCAAACAAGUAAUAAUUUUUGUCCCCACUUACGUGUAGUCAAUUUUGGUAUAGGUUAUUUUUAUUAAAUUUAAUGGGAUUUGGGAUGCAGGUCUAUUCACCAACUCAAUGUUAGGAGUAGGGGUUAAUUUCACACUCUUUUUUCUUAUAAGUUGGUCGUAGGUACGAAUUUCACUUAAUAAAAUCUUAACGGUUGGUGUUAAAAAAUAGGUACCAUAUUAUUAUAUUUGAUCAAUUUAGAUGUGACUUUAUAACCGCAGUUGUAAACGAGACAUCAUGUUAAGUAUGUGAUUAAUACAAAUGUUGAAAUCAUACCUAUAUUGAUCACAGAUUCGGUACGGGUGAGCUUUAUGACAUGUUGUUCUUAUUUUUUUUAUAUAAAUGGAGCAAAGCUAGAAAGUGCUGCCAUCUAUUUAAAACGAAAUCCACAAAAAAUCACUUAACUAUGAAUUAGGUCAUUGUAGAAGUCGGCUAUAUGUCCCAUCAAAAAUCACAACUUUGAUUGAAGAUGUUUAUCGUGGGUUAUUGAUAAAUCUAUCUAAAGAAAUUGGGUAUCUUUUUGUUUUUUUCAAUUGUUAUUCUUUGGGGUAUAUGUCCCAUCAAAAUUUCCAAUUAAAAAAAAAUGAGAAUUCAUUUUUAAUCAUGGUUAUUUUCUUGGGGCUCGGCUUAACAGCCGCCUAAUUUAAUUUAUAAAAUAUAAAUUCAUACUAUUAAGUAUUAACUAUCUUCCCACGAGAACAUACAAAUCCUAAAUUUAAAUAUUUUUUUAUAAUUUAUAUCUCCAUAAUUCUAAAAAUUUUAAUUUUUUUCAAAAAAAAUAUUUUUGAUUAAAUAAUAAAAAUAUAAAUAUAAAAUGAUGAAAUAGGAUGAGCGUAAAAAGUUUGUUAUGUUUUAAGUGUUUAAUUGAAUUUCCAUUCAAAAGAUAAGAUACGAAUAAAUUUAUCUUUAGUUAUUUCAGUUAGAAAAAAGUUUCAUAGGAAUUUCGAGGGGUGUUGAAAAGCAUAUUCUAGCUUAAGAUCUCAUGAAGAUAUAUAUUAUGAUAUGUGUGAAAGGUUAAGUAAGGUUGGGUAGUCCAAGGAAGUUGCGGAGUGAUUUUAUUUAGUUGAACAUUUAAAUUUAAAUCGAAGAAAGUAAGUGUUAAAAAAAUUAAUUUGAAAUUUACCAAUCUCCUACUUUUAUAAAAUAAAAGUUAAAAAAAAAAAAGCAGGGGGGAAACACAAAUUUUCUCUUUUCAUGGGCACAAAAAGAAAGCUGGAUCAUGAACUUUUAGGGUGCCAUGCCAUCCACCAUUAUAACUUGAGUUAGAUCACAUUUGACGUUCGCACUUGUCUGCUCCAGAGAUAAAAUUGCACAUGCCCUUCGUGACCAGUGCCAAAGAUCCAGCUAACAGAGGUAUGGGUUCAAGUGAAAAGUCCAUCAAUAUUCUCAGAAACCAUAAAUAUGUUGAUGCCCACUAAAAUGAUUCUUCUUCUUUUUUCUUUUUUUUUUUCCUUUUCCCCCUCCACUUUCUUUUAAGUUUUAACCAUUUUGUUCUGUACAUAACAUCUUGGCAGUCACCACAUUUUCUGACUCGAAUACGAGAAAAUUUAUGGCAAUCGCCCUUCGAAAAAUUAUUGCCAUUAUAACUACUAAAAGUUCUGUUUAGAGUGCCCAUGAAAGAAAAAGGCAUUUUCUCACUAACUGCUCCCAGAUUCUGCUUUUACUUCCGGUAAAAAUAUCAAUUUACACUCUUCUGUGUAAAGUUCACAUCUUUUUUGUUGUCGUUGUGAAUGGGUAUUGUAAUGCGUAUGUUAAUUGUCAGAGAUCCCAUCAAAAAUUUCAGCCACUAUUUGGGCAUGAACCGCAAGGCUUCGCCAAGUUUAUUAUGGGUUUAGCGGCCCAAAUCAUAACCCAAAUCCUCAAACAAAAAACGUUUCUUGUAAUGCAAGGCUUCACCAAGCUUAUUAUGGGUUUAGCGGCCCAAAUCUAACCCAAAGCCUAAAGGGUGCCUCAAACAAAAAGUGCUUCUUGUGAAAAGUACUUACCAAUUCUUUUUUUUUUGGCUAGGUAUAACAUAUAGAUUAUAGAUCAAAAUACCACUCAACUUCCCAAAAUUUGAAAAAAUUGACAGUGCCAAACUUCCUAUGCACUACUGAAACGCUCUUAUUAAAAGUAUUUGAAAUAUUUUUUUUCUGAUUCUAAUAGAGAAAAUGCUUCUAAAUAAAGAUGUGAUUAAGAUGGGUUGCCAUCACCAAAGUGGUUGAUUUAUUGACACAAGAGUGUAAGAUGAAUUUUUCAAAACAAGGCGAGUCAUCAGAAAUAUUAUAAGUGACAUGAAGAAAAGGACUCCAUGGAAGACAAGUUAAAACUAGUCAAGUAAAAGAAUUAUGAAACAUUGCAACUCCCUCAAGACACGUGGCUCCUUGUGUUUGGUAGGAUGGCAAUGAAACUUUGAUCAGUAAUAAAACUUUGAUCAGUAAGUGUUAUUUAAAAAAAUUAUAUAUUAAUUAUUUAGUUGUCAACGAGAACUACCAUUAAAUAUUAUAAACUUACUUUUUUUUUUAUAGAUAAACUCUUUUUAAGACUAUAUUAUGAAUAAAAGUGAGAUGACAUUAUAAAAUUAAAUAAUGAUCAUUUAAAUAAUUUGAUUUGUAAAAUAAUUCUAUAACCUCUAUUUCUAAAAAAUUGAAAAUUAAAUGCACUAAAAACUCUAGUCGAAAUAGCAUUAAACUACACACACAAAAAAAAACUCGUUUGGUUCGCAUGGAAAUCGUACUUAAUGGACACUUGUUAUCUUUUUGCAUAGACACGUGUCAGUGAAUUCAAAAUUUGCUCCAACGAAGAGCAUGUAGUGUCGCUCUCCCUUUUGAUGAAAUUUGUUUUAUCCUCAGAACGGUCAACACCACCAAAAUUGGAUUUGACCCCAAUAGAGAUUCAUUUUCUUUUUUUUUUUGGGUUUUCCAUAAAGAUUUAUUUUCAAAUAGCCAAUUCAGUGAUUGGGACAAUUAUUAAUUUUUGUCUUUCUUUGGAUAGAAAAUAUUUUUGUUUUAAUGAAAAAAAAAAUUAAGCAUUUUUACAUAGAGAAUUAAUCAUAUAAAAUUAUUUUCAUGAGAACAAAACUUUAAAGAUAUGCAACAAAGGAAUUAUCUUCGGUGGCCUCGGCCUAAAAGGAUAAGCACUCACCCACCGACACAGCCCAACACCCAUCUCAAUCUCAAUCGACCUAGACUUGUAAAGUCAAACACAUCGAUGAUCCAGAGCGACGGGUGCCCACGGGAUUGUUUUUGUCUAUUUCAUUUAUCGCCGUUGAUCUCUUCCCAUCAAAUCAAAGCAACUCGUUUUCCGAGUGAUGUGUAACGCACGAACACUUGUAAUUUUUAAGCCUUUAGUUUAAUUUAGCAUUCUUUUAAAAUAAUUUUAGAGGACGCGAGGAGUACACUCGAGUAUUAACUUUGGGUAACAGCAUUAUUGUCAUUACGUAACUCUACGUGAUCCGUUUUCUCAUUUGAUUUUGUGCAUAAUUGAAAUUAUACACAUUCUUUGCAUUAAUUUUCAAAAUUAAACACAAAGGUUUGGGGCGGUUGGGGCGGUUGGGGCUCCCCCAAGAACAUGUAUUAAAAAAAGUAAUAAAAGAAGAUUUUUUAGAGGGAAUACAAGAUUAUUGUUUCAUAAGUCACCGUACACGCUCGUGUUCGUUUAUUUUUCAAAUGUUGUUGCGUUCGCAUGCUGCACCUGCACUUUUCAGGACGUGGCCGUAUUUCAAAUAUUUAUUCAAACGAAGAGUUGGGAUCCGCAAAGUCAACGGCGGUGAAAGCCGCGGUGCACAUUUAGUUGGUGGCACGUCCAGCAUGGGAUCGAGUCUUGGUAUUCGUAUUAAACCGCCAAUUAGCGAAACCAAAACACGCCCUUCAGCCUACGAACGGGGGAAACGUGUAGAACGGUAUGUUUUUCAUUGGAUGGAUUGCUCGGUGAUGAUCCCUCAAUUAAGCUAAAAAUUGCGUAACAGUGAUGAAAGAAAAAUGAAGGCGUGUUUGUUUCUUUUAUCUUAAGAUUAGAUGGAGGGAUAAUAAGAGUGUUACUACCAAUGGGCCUUUGGUCCAAUGGGAGAAGCCUUGCACUUACAAUAUUGAGUGCAAGGGUUCGAGCCUCCAUAAGAGCAUUAUGGAGAUUAGUUUCAGUUCUUCCUCAAUUAUCAAUUAAUUGAGUGGAGACAGUCUCUCCCUUACGAAAUGUGAGUGGAGCAGGCACCCCUCGAAUAUUAGAGAGGGUUUAAAAUAUCUGGGCAUAUACUUCAGUGUGUCAAUGUAUGAUGGUGGUCGCAGUUAUAUAGUAUGAUUGUAAAUAUUAAUUGUAAUGUCUGAUGUAAUGUCAAUAAUAUCUCUGUAUAACAGACUUAAAAAAAAAAAAAAAGAGUGUUACUGAUUUUGAGAGCCCAAAUGAAUAAAUAAACAAAUAUAAAUGGUAUUUAUUUAUUUGUUUUUAUUUAUAUGCUUUAGUGUAGCAUUUACAGAUGGCCUCCUGGCCUGGGUCUUGCCGACGAAGCUAAAACCUACUGUUGCAAACGACUACAGAUCUACAAUUAAUAGAGAAACUUCAUCCUCCGUUCUCUGCAAUGACCCAAAUGCCCAUGAAGUCUUUUUUUCCAAAUAAAAUUUCCAAGAUAAAUUGAAUGAAUAAAUUUUUUUUGUAGUUGCAGAAAAGUAUUCAUAUUAGGUCAUUGAGACAUCUUCGAUCGGAAAUUUAUUUAAAUAAAAUUAAUUUUAAAAUGUUAAUGAAUCAGAUAAUACAUGAUAUCAUAAUAGUAUAGAAAUAAGAAUAAGGCAUGUUUUAUUCGAAAUAUAUUAUGGAAUUAACAAUAAAAAAAAUAUUCGUGAGGGAAUUUUUAGUUGGAUAAGAAUAGUUAAUCUUUUAUACUAUCGAAUAUUAGAGUUUGGUAUAAUUUCUUUUCUUUGAAAAUAUAUGGUAUAAAUUUUAAUUGCAACUUUUUAAAUAGAUCAUAUACUAAUAUAUUGUUUGGAAAAAGUUAUUUUAAUGUUAAUUAUGAAUUUAGUAAAAAUUUUGGAACCUCUUUUCUUUUUAAUAUUUAUUUGUAUAUUGUAAUAAAAAAUAUAUUGAUAUUGACACUACAAAUCUGUUGAGACGAUCUUAUCUUUGUAAAGAUUGGAAUAAUAUUUACUCCACUCAUAUUAAUUAGAAAGAUGCCAACUUAAGUUUUAAUUGGGAGUAAAUUUUUAAAUAUAUUUAAGAAAGAACUCGAAUAUUUAAUUGAGAGAUUGUAACCUCUUUGAUAAGUAAAAAUAAAUUAGAUAUAUUUUAUCUUCUAUAAGUUUAUUUUUGUUUCAAAUAAACUUUUUUUUUUUUUGAAAAGUUGUUUCAAACAAACCUAGCAAUGCGAAGAAAAAAAAGAGAGAGAGAUUUUGGAAUCUAAAAACGUAUUUUGACUAGUAGAGAAGUCGUAUAAAAAACAUUAUUAGAUGCGUCAUUAAAUAAUUAAUUAGAAGGACAUUUUCGUCCAAAAGUGGGAAGCAAUUGAAGUUAAUGACGCCUCAUCAUCCGCAAACGAAUAGCCUUUCUCUCUUAACAAAAAAGAAAAAGAGAAAAAAAAGAAAAUUAAAAAGUCGUGGAUUUAUCCCUCCCUUCACAAGCUUCGUUUACAAGCUCGCUCCCUUGGCUUCUAUCUGUUAUAAACGAAACAAAAGAAACUCCAAAUUUCUAAAUUCAUUUUUCAUUUUCGAUUUCAAAGGCAGCCAGAAACAGAUCCACGUCUCGGACACUCUCUCCGCGUAAUGCCGUUGAUCUCGUAACUCAGGUCUCCGAAAUCAGAGUUGACUCAGUAACUUCGCACUCGCGACUCGAACCGAACCGAGCCGUUAACACUACCAAAUUGAUCAAAGGCUUUGAGUCUUGACACAAUGGGCGGAGUGCCUUCGACGCCGCGUUUUGCUGACUCGCGGCCACAGGACACGGCGGAGUAUUUAAUUGCUACGUUUGUCGGCGAGAAAUCGUUCCCCUUGGCCUCUGAUUUCUGGCAGAAACUUCUCGAACUCCCGCUCAGCCUCCACUGGCCGUCUCACCGAGUCCACCAAGCUUGCGAGGCUUUCGGUCAGUCACUUAGCUUUUUUUUUUUUACUUUUUUAAUGCAUUGAGUUUAUUUCAUUUGCUUAUUUGAUGAAUUUAGUGCUUGAUCGAAGAAUUUUCUAGGCCAUUGAGCAGCGGCGUCUUUGUGUGGUUUUAUUGAUUAUUGUUGUGUUUGAUGAACUGAAAUGCUCAUUCUUUGAAUUUUUCGUUAUUUUUGAAUUGAUCUUGGUAACUAAAGUACUUAGAAUAAUUCAACGUUAAUAAGAAAAUAGAGAACAGAAAGAAAUGAGAAGAAAUUAAGGUUUAAUACCUACAACGUUAAAAAAUUGCAAAAAUAACAAUAAAAAAUUGGUUUUCUUUAUAGAUUACUAAUGUGCAUUCCUUCUUGUAUGUUUCUUUAUACAUUAUUGAUAGAUUUGGUCUCUUUGUAUUACUGUUGCGCAGCACAAAACAACUGUUAUACUAGGCAUCUUGCGAAGAUUUUGAUUCACCUGACAUGGUGCUUGCAAGAGUGUAUUUCAUCUUCUGGCACUGCAUCAGUGGCUAUUAUGAAGGCUAUUAAUGCAGUGUACAUUUCGUCAGUUUUUCUCAAGUACCUAAUAGAAAAUGCUGAGAGCGAGAAUUUUGAGGAAUUACAUCUGUCUCUUGACGAAAGUGAACCACUUCCAAAGGAAUUUGUGUUAGGUAAUUAUCUUUUAUCUUUUAAAUGUUAAUUCUAAUUUGAUCCUCUGAAUGAAACAAAGCACAAAUAUCCUGAGGGCUUAUUGACUUGAGUGGCCAAGAGGGGGUUGUGAAAUGGCUGUUCUUGAGUCUCAAAUUAAUAGUAAUUAUAAAUUCUGUAGGCAUUGUUCUGGCAAUGGUAACGUAUUUUCUUCAAAACUUGUCAUUUGAAAGGGGUCCACCUUUUGUGAUUCCAGUUUUUUGUCUUUGGGAAAUUUUCUUUUUGGUUAAUAAAGGUUUCCCACUCUUUAUGAAGUUUCAUCAACCUGAAGCUUUGUUUUUGUUUGCAGAUCAAAACAUUGAAAAUCUUGUUAUGCAUAGUGUGUUGAGUUUUAUUGCCUUGGUAGAUGUAAGGUAUAUCACUGAAUCUCUGCGUGUUCUAGCUGUUGAGAUAUAUAUCCAUUAUUCUUAUAAGUAAGAAUUUUCUUUUUGCAAGUCCCCAUACAUACAACCUACAUCAGGAGCUUCUUAAUUUCAUGCUCGUUGCAAUGUCGACUCAGCUUCUUUCUGUGCCAUCGCUGGGACCAAAAGAUGUACACCCUUUCAUUGAUGCGGCAAUGACUGAGGUUACAAUAUGAAAUUUAGACUUUUUGUUCAUUAUCUCAAGAUUUCCAAACUUGUUGAAAUUUCUAAAGUUCAACUUAAAUUUUCAGGAAAGUUCUUUGGUAUGUUCAGUGGUCUGCAGAUUGCUACUCAACUACAUAACACGACCUCGUAUCUCUGUGAACAGUUCAUCUUACUCUAUAUUUUCAGAGGAGAACCAGCCUGGUGUUCUGCAGAGAGUUGGUUCUGCUGCCGGUAUGGGGUUAUUUUAUAGCUUGUUUUCUACAUUGAAAUUGUUUUCAUUUGGAGUCUUAUUGAUCAUGUAUUGCAGAUUCUUCUUUUGUAGAUGAUAGACAAUGGAUGUAUUUUUCAGGCAGUUUGGUUGACAUUAUAUAUUUGACCUGCAGCAACGAUUGUGCUGUUGCCGUUUAAUUAUUUGGUCAGUUCAAAUGGUGAAGGCUCAAGCAAUCCAUUGACUGACUGCAGCCUCCUUGUCCUACUUGUUCUCAUUCAUUACCAUAAAUGUGUUGAGAAUGAUGAAUCCAUAACAGAUAGAAGCGACGACAGUGCCACUUCCGAUUCUUUGGCCAAAUCGAGCACGCAUUUUACUGUAAAUCCUUACUGCAAUGCAUUAGAAAAUGCAAGGGAUAUUGAAUGUGAGCUCUGCUUUCUUUUGUGUUUAUUUAUAUGAUAGCAUCAUAGCAACAAUAUUUUAAGGGGCCCCAGUCUUAAACUAGAGUUCCUUAGCAGUGUCUGGGCUGACCUUGUUUUUCCAUUAAUAUUAAUUUUAAAGAAUGGUAUUUAGGUAGUUUGGUAAAUCAUUACUUAUUUAUUCAUUUUCUUUUCUUGUGUUGACACGCUGUAUGUUUGUUGGUAAAUAUUUCCUGCUUGCAGUUGGUCAUAUGGAUCUCGAGGGGAAUGCACAUAGUGGUCCAGUUGUGAGGCUACCUUUUGCUUCUCUAUUUGAUACACUUGGAAUGUGAGUGCCCCAUUUUUCCUCUUCCCGAGUUUAGAAUCUUUUUGUUGUGAGGUUAUAUUGAUACUUUUCUGCUUCAGUUCGCCAAACUUGAUCUGUGGGUUAAAAUUUAAUGAGGAUGCACCGCAUUAAGAUUUAGUUAUAUUGAAUUUUGCACAUGUUACCAGCAGUUUGGAUGGCUGGUAUUUUUUCAAUGGCUUGGGCUCCACGCCCUUCGUGAGCAAUAAUUCUUUGGUGAAUCUGAAAGCACUGGCAUACCACUGAUGACUCUAUUUCUUCAUCAUCAUUAAGUUGUAAUUACUUGUUCCCCUUCAUCAGUUUUAUCUCACAUGAAUGUUUGCUCUGCAGGUACUUGGCUGAUGAGACUGCAGUUCUAUUGCUUUACUCAUUGGUGCAAGGGAACUCUGGCUUUUUGGAGUAUGUUUUGGUGCGAACUGAUCUGGAUACACUGGUAUGAAACAACAGAACAUUGCUUCUUUAUAUUCGCAGAAAUCUUCUUUCUGAAUACAAUCAUUUUAUUUCUUAGCCCCUCCACAUAGCACAAAAAAAGGAAGCCUUACACUGUCAUCUCAAGGGCCAUAUCUCAAUAUCAUGCUGCUUUUUGAGUGCAGCUUAGUUAUAUGAGAUAUUUUUCCUUACCUUAUUUUUUAUUUUAUUCUAUUUUUAAUUUAUUUUUGGGCUGUAAUAAGUUAUUAAUCAAGUCUUAGUUAUAUGAGCUUGCUGCUGCUCAUCCUAAUAUUAUUCUAUUUUACUAUGGAAUCGACAGUUGAUGCCAAUUUUGGAAACAUUAUACAAUGCUUCAAAGAAGACUCCUAAUCAAAUAUACAUGUUGCUGAUUAUCCUUCUCAUACUUAGUCAGGAUUCUUCUUUCAAUGCAAGCAUUCACAAAAUGGUAAGGAUCUGCUCUAGUGGCCAACCAUUGACUGGAUUACUUAAGGAUUGUGUUGACAUAUUUGGUAUUUUGUAUAGAUUCUUCCCAGUGUUCCAUGGUACAAAGAGCACCUCCUUCAUCAGACAUCUCUUGGAUCUCUAUUGGUCAUUAUCUUGAUAAGGACUGUGAAGUAUAACCUAUCCAAGCUGCGGGUAUGACUUGAAAGUUUACUACUUGUUAAGUUUUCUUUGAAUGUUAGUUGAGAGUGUUACAGCUGAUUGCUUGAUUAAAAUAUCAUUUAUGUCAAUGUUAUCGUAUAAAAAGUGGCCACCUAAUGCUUCUGAUAGACUUUAUGGCAGUUUAAGUACCUUUCUUUUUUUAUACAUGUCAGGUCAGAUUCUUAUAAAUCAAUUGGUGUGUCUGUUGAUCUUGGUGCUCCUUGAAAAUUGUAUAGAAUUCCUAUCCUAGGACUGUGGCAAGAUAGAAACGAGGUGAUUGCUAAUUUGACAUUGUGAAAGCAAAUGCUAGCUUUCACAUAUUAUUGGGGCUAACUGUACUGUUUUUAUACUAUGAAGAAAGCUAGAAUUUAGUGCAAGAAAACCUAUUGUUGUAUUUUAAUCAAUGGAAUGACAAAAACAUGAAGUCUUGAAAGACAUAACCUUAUGAUGAGCAUGGGAAGUGGGCAAUUAAAGGAGCUGAGAUGUCUUACAGUUUUUCAAACUAGUUUUCUGUAUAUGGAUAAAAUGUGCUUUCCAUCUGUUAGGCAAUGCUUGGUCAGAUCAUAAUUUUGUAUGAGGAAUCAAUGCUAUCAUUCUAGAUUCGGUCCAUAUGUCACUAUAAAUGAACUGGAUUCCCUUAAUUCACCCAAAACCCCAUUAAAAUCCUUAAUACUGAGGAUCCGUUGUAUGUUGUACGCUGAUUAAAUCUUGUUAUGCUGGUAGAGACUUGUAUUCUUAUCAUUACUAUAUCAUAUUUUAUGCUCAAAACACUUGAUAUUUCCCUGUGGUAGUCACCAUUUUGACAUGUUUUGUAAGUUUCUAGAUUGAUGGAUAGACAUAUGGUAGAUGUUUAUACUCUGUUCAUUAUGCAAGUUUCGUCCUACUAAAGCCUUUUACAUGUUAAAUUAUAACAGGAUGUCUACCUCCAUACAACCUGUCUUGCAACUUUGGCAAACAUGGCACCUCAUGUCCACCGUUUGAGUGCAUAUGCAUCACAGAGAUUGGUCAGCCUUUUUUAUAUGCUCUCACGAAAGUAUGUCCCCCCGUUCUCUCUUGUUUCUGCUGUGUUAAUUUGAAAAUUUUCAAGCAGACUUUUGUUUCUUAAAAUAAUGCAUGAUCUAUAUAUUGUUUUUCCGAAUUUAUCAACUUCAGGUACAACAAAAUAGCAGAUCGAAGAGACGACAAGAAAGGCAACUUAACAGAACAAGACAGCUUUGCAGAAGAUAUGGUAGUCAUUCUGAUCCUUUUCAUCCUUGUAUAUAUGGCAUUAAUAACUUAAAAAUUUUUUGCUGUUCCAAUGUUAUCGUAUCUUAUAUUUUCUUUUUCUUUUGCUAAACUAGAUUAUUUUUGCUGCAGUCAGCAGAAUUGCACAUUUACACGGAUUUCCUGAGAAUUGUCCUUGAAAUAUUAAAUGCAAUUUUGACUUAUGCCCUGCCGCGAAAUCCAGAGGUAUCAGUUUCCAUUUAAGUCACGAGACAAGGUUUUGUCCCUUUUUUUUUUUCCCCUAACAAUCAUAAGCCAUUUGGCAGAUUUCACAUUGUCAUUAUUCUUAACUAAAUGUUCUUAGCAGGUUGUAUAUGCAAUAUUGCACAGGGAGGAGGUUUUUCAGCCUUUCAAGAGUCAUCCUCGAUUCAAUGAGCUGCUAGAAAAUAUAUACACGGUAAGCAGAUGGUUUCUAUGUCAAAACUUGUAUAUUCUCUCUUAUAUUAAGUAUUUGGAUUUGGCAUAUCACAAGGAUCGGUAGCGGUUGUAGUGCCUAUCUAUAAGGCUUCUGAGUGUCUAAAUUCUAUUCUUUACACUCUUUUACUCUUUCUCGCUGCGACCAAAUUGGAUGACUGCAUUGGCUUUUAUAGGUGUUGGACUUUUUCAAUAGUCGGCUUGAUGCACAAAGAGUGGACGGUGAAUGGUCUGUGGAAAAGGUCCUGCAGUCCAUAAUUAUCAAUUGUAGAUCUUGGCGAGGCGAUGGUUUAAAGGUGAAAGCCGAUCGCUUUUGGAUGUUAUUGUUUAAACUUGGGACUUUUAUCCAGAUGAUUCUUCCCCUUUUUAUUUUACAAAAUCUGGAUCCUUUUAUGACAGAUGUUUACUCGAUUAUAUUUCUCAUAUGAACAAGAGAGUCAUCCAGAGGAGUUCUUUAUUCCAUAUGUUUGGCAACUGGUUCUAUCACGCUGGUAUUUUUCCUACUCCAUUCUCUCUUACUAACCAGAUAACCACACUUAGGCAAAUUGUCCUUGGGAAAAGACUGAUAGGGUCCAAAUAUUUGAUGUGAUUAUUUGGUUUGACUUUUCCUAGCAAUUUGGUUUCAUGGUUAACCAUGAUCCAACGUUUUAGUCACUUUUUAAUCCUUAAAAUUUCUCUUUAAUAUUUGCAUGCUACUUCUUAUAUGUCACUAAUAUCUUGUCUUUCUUGUUUAACUUCAUUCAGUGGGUUCAGCUUUAAUCCCAGUGCGAUAAAUUUGUUCCCAGUGGAUUUGCCUGUAAAAGUAAGUGUUGUGAUCUCUUCUGAAUCUGUUAUGGUAUUAAUGUUUGAUCUAAAGUUGGAGCUUCCAUUUUUAGUAUGAGCUUAUUAAUUUUUCAUGCAUCUCUAGAAUGUACAAACUCUAAUUUGUCUUGUUUUUACUCAUCAUGACUAUCAUUGUUCACUUGACUGCAGGAGGAGAGUAAUGACGAUGGGGAACCCAACAAACAUCAAAAUGGGGAGUUGAAUGAGCAAAGAGUUAAUAUUGAUCCAUAGCUGCAUGAUUCCGGAUGUUCAUGAUGCAUGGUGAAUAUGUAAAUAGAUUACAUGUUUAAAAAAUGUAUUCUUCUCAUUCUUUUCUGUCAAUAUGUUUAAGACACUGUAGAGGCCAUUUUGUCAUAGAUACAAGAUCGAUCGACCUACAAUGUAAUGAAUAAGAGAGCACGCUCAAUUCUACCUUAGUAAUAUAAAAAUCAAAAAAUUAUUUUACUUGGUAAUUUUCAUCCUGUACCGAGUCUUUUGCAUCCUCGCUGUAUUGGAGACCACCACUUAUAAAUUUGUAUCUUUGGAAGACCUCGCUAUUCGAUGGACUCUGAUUUUUCAAGUGCUUUGAAUUGGAAAAUCAUGGAUAUGAUGCAAGAGAUUGGAUUCAUUAAUAUGGACGUUGACUCUGUAAUUAGCUGGUGUACAGUGGAUGAGGAAUUGAUUGUUAGAUAAUCAAAAAGCAUCAUGAAUGAAUGAACGAAUGAAUUUAGAGAUAUCAGAUUGUGCCAGAACGCUCCUUGAUUUUUCUGUUUAGAUGCUGUUUCAUUGACGGUGACGGCGAUGCCAGGUUCAGGUCUCAGGAUCCUCAGUUAGAUAAAGAGGUAGGGUGUUUGGAUAUUGAUUUGAAGAAAUUAUUAUCUGAAUUUUUCAUAAGAUUUAGAGGCAAAGGGAGGUUAGUUUCUUUCAGUUAGUAUUAGCAAAUUCGAAAAGCAUAUUCUUACAAAAUUUCAGUACUUGACGAGUUGAUACUAAAGUGAGGAGGGAUUCCAUGACAGAUAAAAAAAUAAUGAUGAGAUUAUUAUGUGAGGUAAAUGUCUAUGGGUGAAUUUUGGGAUAGACAUGAAAAAUAAAUUAUAAAGCAGGAAUAUUUUUGACAUUAGAAAGUAAUUGAUUUAAUUCAAAUGUCUUUAUUAAGUAAAAAGCCAAAAAAAUUAGUUUAUUUUAUUAAGUCAAAAUUAUUUUAAAAAUCUUAUUAAGUUAUAAAAAUAAAUAUCUCUAAUUAACUUAAUUAAUUAAAUUAAAUCACUUUAAGUCAUUAAGUUAAAAAACAAACGCCACCUUAGUUUGGAGAUCAGAGACUUGUGUACAAUAAAAUCAAAUAGCCACAAAGAAGCAUGGUGUUUAACAACGCGCGUUCUUUAUUUCAAUCUUCCAUAUAAACUAUGUAUUAGCAAAAACACAGUUCUACAAGACGUACAAGACUUGACUUAAACAAGGGUACCGCCCUUGACAUACUCGGUGAAAGCGAAGGCAACAAGACCCAACACAGCCAGCCUUCCAUUCAUCAACUCAGCAUCCGAAGUCACUAACGCAUCCGAUUUCGACUCUACACUGACACCUUUAGACAAAAGAACCAGAAGCGCAAGCGAGAGCAAAACACUGGUCCCCAAGAAAUACGCUAUCCCACCGUCUGAUAUCUGGGCGAACACGUCCUGACCCUUGGAUAUAGUUCCACUGCCUGUGCAGCCACAAACCCAAUCAUCGCAAGCCUCCCACUGAAAGCCAAAACGUGUGGGAACUUCGUGCUCGUCCCCGGCUGCUUUGGUGGCUGAGGCUUCUCAUCCUACAAAAUUAUUAUUUCAACCAUGCAGUUCAGUUAAUUGUUUGUCAAGCAAAACAAGUUAUAAACCGCAGAGAAUUUUUUUUUUUUUUUUUUUUUUAAAAAGGUAUCGUUACUUGACUACCUCAGCUAGGCAACGCGCUCAAAAGUUAACAUUUCUACGCAGAUUACUGGGAAUGUACUGAACAGGGGAAAAUUGGUUCACCCCUGAUCAAAAAAGGUUAAAAAAAAAAAUUCAAUUCACGUGUCUAUGCUGGUUAUAAAAAAUUCUACCUUUCUAUCGCAUUAUCAUCAUGGACUGAUCUUUCACAUUUUUUGUUCCAUUGAUGCUUGUGAAGCACGAUCUCUUCUUUAAGAGGCUUCAAUAUGGGCCCGUAGGUUGAGCUUCAGUUGUCCAAUUUAAAUGUCAUGUCACUUGCAUACAUGUUCUUUCUUGAACAGAUUUGAUAGAACUCAUUCCCAAAAUAUCAAAUUGCAACGAAAGGGAGCCAUUAGCCACCUGCCAACCUUUGACUUUAGCAUUAUUGGACUCAAUUUAGGGCGAUUCAACAUAUUAAUAUUUGAUCUAAAAUUAGAGAAUGUUAAAUUUUUUUCUUGUAUCUCCGAAUUUACAAGUCCAGAUUUGCUUGUCUUUUAUUCAUAAUGGCACCAUCACGAUGCAUGGUGAAUAUUUGAUUAAAAUGUAAAUUUUAAUGGAGAUAAAAAGAAAUUUAAUUUUAAGUAAUUUUUGAAAUUAUAUAAACUAACGUAAUAUAAUAUAGCUGCUUGAUUUAUCUUUAUUAUUUUAUAUUUUUAGUCAACUAAUGCAAAAAUAAUUUGUUAACCAGCAUUUGGCCCAAGCCCUAAAAACUAAAAAGUGCAUAUAUUCCAAUUUCAACACGGAAAAGGGUGAUUUAUUUAGAGAAUUGGCAUGGGAAAACAGAGAUUUACAUACAACACCACCAUAAUUCAUACACAAUAAUUAGCCACGGAAGAAACAUGACGUGCGCUUCAAGUAUUAAGAAUAGGGUCUUGUUAUCAUUUCAAGACUCUGCAGUCCGCAUAUCACUGGAAAAUUGGACUUAACUAAACAAGGGUACUGCCUUUAACAAACUCAGUGACAGCCAAAGCAACAAGACCCAUCAUAGCGAACCUCCCAUUCCACAACUCAGCAUCCGAAGUCAUGAACCCAUCCGAUUUAGACUCCACGCUGACACCUUUAAACAAAGGAACCAGGGACGCAACCGAAAGCAGAACACUGGUCCCCAAGAACCAGGCAACUCCACCGUCUGAUAACUGGGCAAACACAUCCUGACCCUUGGAUAGCUCCACCGCCAAUGCAGCCACGAACCCAAUCAUCGCAAGCCUCCCGUUUAUCCUCUCCGGUGCCGGCCCGCUGAACGCAAACACGUCAGAGAACUUCGUGCUUAUACGCGGUAGCUUUGGUGGCUGAGUUGAUUGAUCCUUCUGCUGCUCAUUCUACAAAAUUGUUAUUGCACCCAUGCAAUUAGUGUAAAGUCUCUAGUUCUCAAGCAAAAGUAAAAAGUAAAUAUAAAGCAGAACUCUAGCCUUUACUUACCUUAGCCAUGCAGCGCACUGAUAAGCUAACAUUUCUCUGCAGAGUACCAGGUAAGUACUUAACAGAGGAAAAUUGGUACACCCCAGAUUUCCUGAUGCCGGUAACACGAGCUGCGACGACAGAGCUUCCAAGCAUAGAUUGAGUGGCGAGUGAAGCAGCCAUUUUUGUAGAUUAUGCAACGGAGGAAUAAUUUAGCAACUGGGAGUUUUUAGGUUAAUGGGCUCCUUACUUGCAAUUUUGAUGAUCAGUAAGAGCAUACGUUGCAUGGUAUUUAUAGUAAGUAAUAAAGUGUGGGGAGGGGAAGAGAGUGAUGGAUAUUUAGGUUCCACGUAGUCUAGAUCUUUCGCCAAAAGUUACUUGGUUCACGUGACUUCGCUGGUCCACAUAGGUGAUGGAGCUUGGGACGUGGCCUGGUUACACUCACCGGAGGGAAAGCUUGUGAAUCUGAGGCCAACGUUGUUCCUAGGUUUCGAGUUAGGCCACGACUACGACUAGGUCAUUCUAGUCAUCUCAUCUUAUGUCGCCACAUGCUCAUAGCUGGUCCUAACUUGAACACGGAAACAAAAUUUGUCACUAAGUGUUUGUUUCUUCCUUUAGCUGGCUAGCAGCUACUUAGCUUGUUUGCUUGUGUUUUUUUUUUUUUUUGCAGUCUGUAGCGAUCAACUUGGCAAAAGUUAUUCCGUGCUUUCGAGGUGCAUGGCGCCUGCAAGUCAAUGAGUUUCACCUCCCUCCCGUAUAUUUAUUCGGAUUCAAUUUUAUAUUAUAUGUAAUUUUAAUUUCUAAUUAAUUUCAUUCGAAUAUAACUGGAUGUUCCGAUUUAUCCAAAACCAAGAAUAACAAUUCAAUUCAUCGUAACUAUAUAUUCUGGUUACAAAUGAGUGUCAAUUAAUUCGAUUGGUAAAAUCUCUUAAAUCAUUUAUGUCAUGUUAAAUACAGUGAUAAUUUUAUAAAUAAAUGAAAAUCAAGCCUUGAUAAUCUACCUGAUCGAAUUAAUAUCAUCUUUGACAUUGUUUAAAUUAUUUUAUUCUCGAAAGAUAAUCAAUUUAGGAAUGACAAAAUCUAAAUUGAAGUGUAGGUGCAUCCAAAUCUGAAUCCACAUUAAUUUUUCAGGAUUCAGAAGUUGGUAAAUUUAUACAGAUUCUAAGCGAAUAUUCUUGAUAUGUGGAUCCGCACAUUUAAAACAUUUAUUUACAAAACUAUAACAUUUUACCAAUAUAAAAAAUAAAAAAAAAUAAUAAUCAUUCAAUACUAAACAAAUCUAGAAUAAAUAUUAAUAACAAUCCAAGUUAAUAGCACCACAAAUGACAAAUUUAAAAUAAUAUAAAGUACUGAACAAAUCUAAAAUAAUAUAAGAUAAUGUUUAAGCAUACUUGGGUGUGUUAUCCUAUUUAUGUGUGAUGUGUUUUUAACUUAGGGCUUAUAUUUUCUUAUAUAUGUCUUAUUUUUUAUUUAAUUAAUUUUAAAAAAAAUAUGCAGAUCUGAAUACCUAGUUAUCCAUCCUCAAUAUCCACAUCUUGAUUCACAUUUUUUAUUAUGCAGAUUCCGAUCUCUGUGGAUGCAAACUAGAUCCCAAUUUUCUUGUCAUCCCUAAGCAAAAGCUUUUCCUCACAAUUAGUUUCCUGUAUAAGAAGGAUUCUUUAUUUUCUUCAUAUUUUAGUAUUCGGAAUUUUCUCCUCAAACUCAAGGUUUAGCUAUUACUAUAAAUUUUAAUGUCACAAAGGCUAAUUCUUGAGCAAUAAAUCAGACUUUCAGCCAUUGCCAAAUUCGGAGGUUUAGCUUUUCCACACAAUUAGUUUCAUGUAUAAAUACAUAUUUGAUAUGACUUAUUUAAUAUGUAUAAGUGCUUAUUUAAUCUUAUAAACUCUUAUCAUAGUUUUUUUUUCUUGUUUGGUUAUUUUUUUAAUAAAGAUUUUGAACCUUAAAUAAGAUAUGUUAUCUCUACUAGUAAAAGCUCAAAUUUUAAACUUUUAUGGAAUAGAUGUUGAAAAACUUUUUUUAAAUGUUAAAAUAUAUAAAAUAUCCUCUAAUUAUUUAAAAAUCUUAUUUUAUUUUUUAUAAUAUAAUUUUAAAAAACUUGUUUAUUAAAAUAAUUUCUUAAAUUUUUAAUAAAAACUUUUAUUGAGAACCAAACAACUAAAAUUUUUAUAAUAAAAAACUCUAUUAACUAAAGCUCUACUUAAAAUAAUCUCUACUUAAAAAAUUAUACCAAACGGAAUCCAAGAAUGACUCUUUAUUUUCUUCAUAUUUUAGUAUUCGGAAUUUCCUCCUCAAACUCAAGGUUUAGCUAUUACUAUAAAUUUUAAUGUCACGAAGGCUAAUUCUCAAGCAAUAAAUCAAACUUUCAGCCAUCGCCAAAUUCGGAGGUCAAUUCCUUCGAAGCGAUUAAAAUUAAUUUUCUUAAUUUUACUUCAGCUUUUCAGUUAGAGCCAUAUGAUCUUAAUAAUAGUUUAGCUGGUUGGCUUCUUGCCUUAUAAAGCACUAACAACAUUCAGUUUCUGCAAAUGAGAAUUCAGAGAACAGAGAUAGGCUCAAACUCAGGAUUGCACCAUACCUCUAGAUGAGCUCAUAUCUUCAACAAACACAACAUAUGAAACCAAAAAAAAAAAAAAAAAAUUGUUAAGCUUCCAUAGAUACUUCAGUUUAUCCAUUUGCACCUGUUCUUAUUCAAUUAACUUUUCUACUUCAAAAAUGAUCCGAUGUUGUUACGUUAAUUACUGUUUAAUGUAAAUUAAUGAAUAUUAGCUUUAAAAUUGCCGGCUCCCUGAGUGCGACACAAAUUGCAUAGAAGAAUUUUGUGGCCAUGGUAAAAAAAUUACAAGUAUUCCACAACUGGGUGUGGCACUCUUGGGCUCGUAGCAAUGAACUUGAGGGCACAAGUUUAAGUCUCAACUCUUAACUUUGUAUUAAUCAUGAAUACGAGUAGAGUACACAUCUUUUUUUAUCUUCAAAGAAAGAUACAUCUCAAUAUUGUAAUAAAUUUCUGAAUUAUCAUAAUAAUAUUAAUCCAUAUUUGUUCCAGUAAACUUAUGACUGUAUGAUUAGAUAUUAGUUAGUAAUAAAAGGAAAAAAAAACUAGAAAAUGGUGGUUGAAUUACAGAAUGGCAUGAGAAAUAGAGAUUUAAUUACAGUAGGAUCUCAUACAUUAAUUAGUUAAAAAAAAUACAGAUCUACAGAUCUAAACAAAAUUAAGCUUAAACAAGGGUGCCACCCUUAACAAACUCGGUGAAAGCCAAAGCAACAAGGCCCAGCAUAGCAAACCUCCCAUUCCACAACUCAGCAUCCGAAGUCAUGAACCCAUCCGAUUUAGACUCCACGCUGACACCUUUAAACAAAGGAACCAGGGACGCAACCGUGAGCAAAACACUGGUCCCCAAGAACCAGGCAACCCCACCGUCUGAUAACUGGGCAAACACAUCCUGACCCUUGGAUAUCUCCACCCCCAAUGCAGCCACGAACCCAAUCAUCGCAAGCCUCCCGUUUAUCCUCUCCGGUGCCGGCCCGCUGAACGCGAACACCUCAGAGAACCCCGUGCUCAUCCGCGGCUUCUUUGGUGGCUGAGGCUCAGCUUUCGGUAUGGUUGGUUGAUCAUCUUUCUGCUGCUGCUGCUGCUCAUCCUGUAAAAUUAUAUCAAUACCCCAUGCAAUUAGUAAAACUGUUAUUUCACGUUAGGUAAAGCUCCGCAUUUCGUAUUGUGGAACCGUGGCUUCACUUACCUCUGCCGUGCAGCGCACGGAUAAGUUGACAUUUCUACGCAGACUAGGCAAGUACUUGACGGAGGAAAGUUGGUUUGCCCCGGAUCUCCUGAUACCAGUCACACGAGCUGCUACAGGACUUGCCAGCAUAGAUUGAGUAGCAAGUGAUGCGGCCAUUUUUAAUUUAUGAAGUAGAAAACAGAACAAAGUAUAAUUCGGGAAUUGGGUGCUUCAGGUCGGCGGGUUCCUUGUUUGCAAUUUCUUGAGACAAGAGAGCAAAGUUUGCAUGGUAUAUAUAGUAGGUUGGGCUGAAGACUGAAAACCGAAAACCGAAGAGAGUGGUGGAUAUUUCGGUUCCACGUAGUCUAGAUCUUUCUUGAAAAGUUAAUUCGUUCACGUGGGUUUGCUUUGUCCACAUGUAAUGGAAGCUUGUGACGUGGCCACUUACUCACCAGAAACAUGUCACUUCCAAAGUGCUUCCUACUUCUAGUGGUUCAUCUCAUACCACGACAUGUAGUUCUUGUUUCUUAGUUAAAGACGUAAUUAUUUCGUCACAUGGUUUGCUAGUCUGAUUUCUUUAGCCAGCUCGCUUGUUUCCAGCGAUGCAAUUUGGCAGUCUGCAUGCGUGCUUUGGUUUUGGCCGUCGUUACUUUACUAACUAGCAAUUCAUAAAGUUGACGAGUUCUCUCACUGCGUCAGAUUCACAGGGCUAACGUGCACUCAGAUGAACAGAAAUGACCAAGACUCCAGAGACGAUGAUUGUGCUACCUUAUUGCAUGUAUAAUUAAGCAGCAGAAAUGUGUGUAAACCGUCGAACUGGAUUUGUUCCUGUUAUUGUUUGUCAAUACAACGUUCAAUUUUACAAAUUAAAAAAAAAAAAAAAAUUCCGAGAACAGAUGUUCGAAUUAAGGGCUAAUCGCUAAUGUACGAAUCAAGCAUUUACACGAAUAUUUCUUGCUUAAUUCUCAAUAAACUACACAUAAGAAGGAAGCAAGAGAUGAAAUGACAUGCCUCCAUAGUUCCACACCUCAGUUUAAUCCACUUGGAAUAUUUACUUUCUAGGAGUAUUUGCAAAUUUGUACCCAUAACCAGACAAAUUACUGUAGUCUCUAUGGCCACCAACUUCGUCAACAGGAAUGGUCUUGCAAAUUUCUUUCAAGUCCUCUUCUUUAAGCUUCAGCGCCAAAGAACCAAUGUUGUUAUCAAGGUUUGUAAUCUUAGUUGUCCCUGUAUAAUAUGAAAGUGAAAAGUAACAAGUCAUGCAAGAACCAGCUAGAAAUCCCACAGCAGAGUAAAAUUUACAUUCAUUGAAAUAUUAUUUAUCUAGAAAAGAGAGGUAUGAAUGUUAUACCAUUCUUUUAUCAAAGAAAAUUGAAAAGCAAAUCCAAACAUGUUGAACAGGUCAUUUAGAAGAAUUUAAGAGCCUAAUAUAUACCGGGAAUAGGGACUAUGUCAUCCCCUUGAUGGAGAAGCCACGCCAAAGCUAAUUGAGGGGUAGUACACCCAUACUUUGCAGCCAAGGUUUCCAAACGAGUAUAUAAAAGUUUGUUCUUCUCCAAGUUCUCUCCACUGAACCUAGGAUGCAUUGCCUGUGACAGAAAAUAGAAAACAGCUUCAAAGAGGAAAAAUGUGAAAUUGUGAAACAACGUGUGCCUGUUUACAAACUGGAAGAAUAGAAAGGAAAGUCAAAUGGAUAAAAUUGUAGAUUUAAUUAUUAGAUUUGCUUUGUAACACAUACCAAAAUACUCUCACUGGGCAAGCUUUCCACAACUGCCUUCCCAGCAAAGAAACCUCGACCAAGAGGGCUAUAUGCCACUAUGCCAAUACCGAGCUCUCUGAGGAGAAAGGUGAAAUAUUACUUAACAUCUGUAGAACAAUAGCAAUUGCCAGGAAUUGAAAAUAAAAGCUUCCUGGAGACAAAAAGAAGGAUUGUAAGGUAAAAAUAUGUGAAGAAACCUGCAGAGAGGAAUUAUAUCAUCUUCGAUUUCACGAGUCCACAGCGAGUAUUCCAUUUGUACAGCUGUUAUGGGAUGGACAGCAUGGGCUCUUCUUAUUGUGUCUGCACUGGCUUCAGACAACCCAAUAUAUUUUAUCUUUCCCUCCUCUACUAGCUUCUUGAGUUCCCCCAUCUAACACAACAUCAAAUUCAAACUUUAUCAGAUCUCAAGAUAUUAGCUUAAUUAACAUAAUAGAAUGAACAAAACUCAAUGAACAGGAAAUGCAUAUAACAAAAUAAUUCUUACCGUAUCCUCUAUUGAUACUGAGGUGUCCACACGAUGCUGAUAGUAGAGAUCAAUAUAGUCUACAUCAAGUCGCUUUAGACUGGCUUCACAACAUUUCCGUACAUAUUCAGGUGAGCCUUUUACCCCAAUAGAAACCCCAUCUAGCAUAAAACAACCAAAUUUUGUUGCUAACUGAAUCUUAUCACGAGGAAGCUGCUUUAAAGCCUGUACAUAUGAGAAUUAGAUUUCUUAACCAGUGUAUACUGUCACCAUUCUCUAAGCCUUGUGAGCUUUAAAAUUAAUUGUGUGCUCUGUCAACUUUGGGUUUAUUUCAGAUCAGUUAUCAGAUAAUUUGAAGUUGAAACCGAAAAUAGUACCUUGCCAACCAUGAUCUCAUUGUCAUGAUCAACCCCAUAAACAUCUGAUGUAUCAAAAAGGGUGAUACCCCUAUUAAAAGUUUCCUUGAUGAUUGAACAUCCGACCUCAUGGGAAAGAGGUUUGUUGUAUAUCCCAGAGAGUCCCCCACAGCCAAAACCCAAUCUGGAAACCUGAAAUCAUGAUAUUAUUAGGAAAAGCUUUCGAUACACACACACACACUCGUUUAUUUGCCUAACCUCAUAUUAGUUUCAACACUUAAAAUCCACUCCUAAAUUGAAGCUUUCAAUCUAAGAAUUUGGUUCAUCAAAUGUCCCCUUAAAUUACUACUUUCUUUGAUCCUAUCCUGCAAAAGUAUCCAUAUCGGGCCACGUAAUGUAGAGAAGGAACAGAAAUCAUAGUAAAUAACCAACCCAUUGUCUACCAAACAAGUUGGAUAUUUAAUAUUUCCAUACAAACACUUGCGUAAUGCAAUAUACAGACAGAAACGUAAAAGGUACAUCUUUCUCUUGAGUCGAUCCUUCAUUCUUUUAUUAUUUUAAAAUUUUAUUUUCAUUUAGUGUCAAGCAGUACCAGCUAUCAAAUUCGUCCAUGUUAAUUUGAUUCGAGCUGUUUCACAUGGAGCCUUGAACUUCAGUCCUCUCUACAUAUAUCAAGCUGUGCAACAUCCUAGAUAAACAGCUAAAAAAUAAGACAACUAACACAGCCACUGUUCAGCAAAUAGACUACAUUUUCACAAAUUCAAACCCUUACAACUUGCAAACUAUACCCACAGAUAAAACACACAUGACAAUUCAUCAAACAUCGAUGCCAAGGAACCAUGGCAGGACAGAAAAUUGAAGCUAGCAUUUGAUUAAGCAAAAAUCUCAAUUCCUAAGUGCAGUGUAUAAUGGGUGCGACGAACCGAACCUCAUCUUGUUGAUAAUUACAACCAGAAUGUUUGCUAUAUUAGCUUACCUCUAAACCCUGACUGCCCAAUUUCACUCUCGGAACAUGGACUUGAGGCUUCUCCUCCAUUUUUACACAGAAAGUAGAUCUUAGCCGCAGACUUGCAGAGACAACAUAAAGAACCUAACAAAAAAUUAGACUUACCAGCUCUCAUGUUCAGUGAGGGACCAACUAACAACCCACCAAAUAGGCAAAUACCACAUGGACAGCCCGUGAUUAGAUAACAUUUGUUUUCAUUUUUAUUUUUAUUUUUUUAAUAAGCCUUCCUCUC
RNAcentral lists this long non-coding RNA (29623 nucleotides) under Citrus x clementina. RNAcentral describes it as "Citrus clementina (C. clementina) long non-coding RNA (CCLE_LNC000119)". The record is from RNAcentral. Lineage: Eukaryota; Viridiplantae; Streptophyta; Magnoliopsida; Sapindales; Rutaceae.